This 253-nucleotide ribosomal RNA is filed under the name uncultured bacterium. RNAcentral's name for it is "partial 16S ribosomal RNA". It matches the Rfam family "Bacterial small subunit ribosomal RNA", at positions 524 to 776 of the family's 1533-position model. The record is from RNAcentral.
GACGAACCGUGCGAACGUUGUUCGGAUUCACUGGGCUUAAAGGGCGCGUAGGCGGGUGACCAAGUCCGGGGUGAAAUCUUUCGGCUCAACCGGAAAACAGCCCUGGAUACUGGUCGUCUGGAGGGAGGUAGGGGCACGCGGAACUUCCGGUGGAGCGGUGAAAUGCGUAGAGAUCGGAAGGAACGCCGGUGGCGAAAGCGGCGUGCUGGACCUCUUCUGACGCUGAGGCGCGAAAGCCAGGGGAGCAAACGGG